This 402-nucleotide ribosomal RNA is filed under the name uncultured bacterium. Its description in RNAcentral is "partial 16S ribosomal RNA". It matches the Rfam family "Bacterial small subunit ribosomal RNA", at positions 338 to 755 of the family's 1533-position model. The record is from RNAcentral.
CCUACGGGAGGCAGCAGUGGGGAAUAUUGGGCAAUGGGCGCAAGCCUGACCCAGCAAUGCCGCGUGAAGGAAGAAGGCUUUCGGGUUGUAAACGUCUUUGACAGGGGAAGAGCAGAAGACGGUACCCGGAAAACAAGCCACGGCUAACGACGUGCCAGCAGCCGCGGUAAUACGUAGGUGGCAAGCGGUGUCCGGAUUUACUGGGUGUAAAGGGCGUGUAGCCGGGAAGGCAAGUCAGAUGUGAAAUCUGGAGGCUCAACCUCCCAAUUGCAUUUGAAACUGUUUUUCUUGAGUACUGGAGAGGCCGCCGGCAUUCCUUUUGUAGCGGUGCACUGCGUAGAUAUUAGGAGGAACCCCAGUGGCGACUGCGGUCUGCUGGACAGCAACUGCCGGUGUGGCGCG